AGAGUUUGAUCAUGGCUCAGGACGAACGCUGGCGGCGUGCUUAACACAUGCAAGUCGAGCGGGGCGUAGCAAUACGCCUAGCGGCGGACGGGUGAGUAACACGUGGGUAAUCUGCCCUCAAGUGGGGAAUAACACAAAGAAAUUUGUGCUAAUACCGCAUAGAACUGAUGCUUCGCAUGGAGAAUCAGUUAAAGAUUUAUUGCUUGAGGAUGAGCCCGCGGCCCAUUAGCUAGUUGGUGAGGUAACGGCCCACCAAGGCAACGAUGGGUAGCCGACCUGAGAGGGUGAUCGGCCACAUUGGAACUGAGACACGGUCCAGACUCCUACGGGAGGCAGCAGUGGGGAAUAUUGCACAAUGGGGGAAACCCUGAUGCAGCAACGCCGCGUGAGCGACGAAGGCCUUCGGGUUGUAAAGCUCUGUCUUCUCUGACGAAGUAUGACGGUAAGAGAGGAGGAAGCCACGGCUAACUACGUGCCAGCAGCCGCGGUAAUACGUAGGUGGCAAGCGUUGUCCGGAAUUAUUGGGCGUAAAGGGUGCGUAGGUGGCAGUUUAAGUGGGAUGUGAAAUACCUGGGCUUAACUCAGGGAUUGCAUUCCAAACUGGACUGCUAGAGUGCAGGAGAGGAAAGUGGAAUUCCCAGUGUAGCGGUGAAAUGCGUAGAGAUUGGGAGGAACACCAGUGGCGAAGGCGACUUUCUGGACUGUAACUGACACUGAGGCACGAAAGCGUGGGGAGCAAACAGGAUUAGAUACCCUGGUAGUCCACGCUGUAAACUAUGAGUACUAGGUGUAGGGGGCGAAGCCCUCUGUGCCGCAGUUAACACAAUAAGUACUCCGCCUGGGAAGUACGAUCGCAAGAUUAAAACUCAAAGGAAUUGACGG
Molecule: ribosomal RNA, 882 nt
Filed under: uncultured bacterium
Lineage: Bacteria
Description: bacterial SSU rRNA
Rfam family: Bacterial small subunit ribosomal RNA
Source: RNAcentral